UUAAUGAACUCACCAAAAUAGAUCUUGCCAUUCCGCUUUUGUUACCCCUUUUUGUUUCAAUAUUUUGAUAACUAUUGGUUUCAUUCCCGGCCAUUUUCCAUCAAAUUGUUCCUUGGCUUGAUCCUUCUUAUUCAAUAGCAAAGGAGAAUUCAUUUUUAAGAAAGUUUUAAUGGAAAAAUAAACAAAAAUUAUCAAAUCAUUUUAUAAAAAACAUUAUUAUUAUAUUGACAAC
This is a non-coding RNA of Paramuricea clavata, 232 nucleotides long. The record is from the annotation of a GenBank genome assembly. NCBI's taxonomy places the organism in Eukaryota, Metazoa, Cnidaria, Anthozoa, Malacalcyonacea, Plexauridae.